Molecule: ribosomal RNA, 472 nt
Filed under: Streptococcus mutans
Lineage: Bacteria; Bacillati; Bacillota; Bacilli; Lactobacillales; Streptococcaceae
Description: bacterial SSU rRNA
Rfam family: Bacterial small subunit ribosomal RNA
Source: RNAcentral
GACGAACGCUGGCGGCGUGCCUAAUACAUGCAAGUGGGACGCAAGGGAACACACUGUGCUUGCACACCGUGUUUUCUUGAGUCGCGAACGGGUGAGUAACGCGUAGGUAACCUGCCUAUUAGCGGGGGAUAACUAUUGGAAACGAUAGCCAAUACCGCAUAAUAUUAAUUAUUGCAUGAUAAUUGAUUGAAAGAUGCAAGCGCAUCACUAGUAGAUGGACCUGCGUUGUAUUAGCUAGUUGGUAAGGUAAGAGCUUACCAAGGCGACGAUACAUAGCCGACCUGAGAGGGUGAUCGGCCACACUGGGACUGAGACACGGCCCAGACUCCUACGGGAGGCAGCAGUAGGGAAUCUUCGGCAAUGGACGAAAGUCUGACCGAGCAACGCCGCGUGAGUGAAGAAGGUUUUCGGAUCGUAAAGCUCUGUUGUAAGUCAAGAACGUGUGUGAGAGUGGAAAGUUCACACAGGGACG